CCACGAUCGAAACGUUGAGACAAGCAGGGACGGAGAAGGAUAUGCCAAGCCGCUCAUUGGAUUGCGGUUCAAGCCAGUAGGUUGGUCUCGUAGGAGUCGACAGACACAAACGCGAGACUAAGGCCGAGAGGUGAUGAGGUAGAAGCUUCGGCUUCGUAACUUGGUGAUUCCACGCUUCCUAGAAAAGCUGCGUGUGGAGUUAGAUCGUGACCGUACCGCAAACCGACUCAGGUGGGUGGGAUGAAUAUUCCAAGGCGCGCGAGAGAACGCUGGUUAAGGAACUAGGCAAAAUGACACCGUAGCUUCGGGAGAAGGUGUGCCCUUUUGCGUGAACCGUGCACACGGGAAGCGCGAGAGGGUCGCAGAGAAAUGGGGGUUGCGACUGUUUACUAAAAACAUAGGACUCUGCGAAGUCGUAAGACGACGUAUAGGGUCUGACGCCUGCCCGGUGCUGGAAGGUUAAGAGGAGAAGUCAGCGCAAGCGGAGCUUCGAAUCGAAGCCCCAGUAAACGGCGGCCGUAACAAUAACGGUCCUAAGUAGCGAAAUUCCUUGUCGGGUAAGUUCCGACCUGCACGAGGGCGUAACGACAUCCCCACUGUCUCGACCAGCGACUCGGCGAAAUUGUAUCGGGGGUGAAGAUACCCUCUACCCGCGGCAAGACGGAAAGACCCCAUGAACCUUUACUGCAACUUGACAGUGAAGUUCGGGACAAUCUGCGUAGGAUAGGUGGGAGGCUUUGAAGUCGGGGUUCUGGCCUCGAUGGAGCCAACGUUGAAAUACCACCCUGAUUGUUCUGGACUUCUAACCCAGGCCCGUUAUCCGGGUCGGGGACACUGUCUGGUGGGCAGUUUGACUGGGGCGGUCGCCUUCUAAAACGUAACGAAGGCGCACGAAGGUUCGCUCAGGCUGAUUGGAAACCAGCCGUAGAGUGUAAAGGCACAAGCGAGCUUAACUGUGAGAUCGACAGAUCGAACAGGUGCGAAAGCAGGUCUUAGUGAUCCGGUGGCUCAGAGUGGAAUGGCCAUCGCUCAUCGGACAAAAGGUACUCUGGGGAUAACAGGCUGAUCGCGCCUGAGAGUUCAUAUCGGCGGCGCGGUUUGGCACCUCGAUGUCGGCUCAUCGCAUCCUGGGGCUGGAGCAGGUCCCAAGGGUUCGGCUGUUCGCCGAUUAAAGCGGUACGCGAGCUGGGUUUAGAACGUCGUGAGACAGUUCGGUCCCUAUCUGCCGUGGGCGUAGGACACUUGAGAGGAGCUAUCCAUAGUACGAGAGGACCCGGAUGGACGAACCCCUAGUGAGCCGGUUAUCACGCCAAGUGGUAUAGCCGGGUAGCCAUGUUCGGAACGGAUAACCGCUGAAAGCAUCUAAGCGGGAAGCCGGCCUCAAGACUAGGUGUCCCGGGACGCAAGUCCCCUAAAGACCCCUUGUAGACUACAAGGUUGAUAGGCAGGGUGUGGACAGGCAGUAAUGUCUGAAGCUAACCUGUACUAAUAGGUCGUGCGGCUUGACUUA
This 1510-nucleotide ribosomal RNA is filed under the name metagenome. RNAcentral's name for it is "bacterial LSU rRNA". It matches the Rfam family "Bacterial large subunit ribosomal RNA", at positions 1443 to 2925 of the family's 2925-position model. The record is from RNAcentral.